GAACCGAAGUUCUAAGAUUGCUACUACGUAGUAUAUCGGUAGGGGAGCAUUGAAACUACAGCGAAGGUGUGCGGCGACGCAUGCUGGAGUGGUUUCAAAAGAAAAUGUAGGCAUAAGUAACGAUAAUUGAAGUGAAAAACUUCAACGCCGUAAACCCAAGGUUUCCUGAUCAAUGUUAAUCAGAUCAGGGUUAGUCGGGUCCUUAGGCAAACCCGAAAGGGGUAGCUGAUGGAAAGUUGGUUAAUAUUCCAACACCUGCUUUAGAUUCGAUGGGGUGACGGGGUAGUGAAAGGUCCGCGUUCUUACGGAAUAGAACGUUAAAGGGUGUAGAUAUAGGUUGUGUAGGCAAAUCCGCACGACUUGUCGAACCUGAUAGUACAGCAAAGCUUCGGCCGCGCUGAUAGUGACCCUAAUCAGACCUCCGAGAAAAACCUCUAAGUUAUGUUUAAAGCAGCCCGUACCGCAAACCGACACAGGUGGGUGGGAUGAAUAUUCUAAGGCGCUCGGGUGAGCCGUGGAGAAGGAACUAGGCAAAUUAACGCUGUAACUUCGGGAUAAAGCGUACCGAUUUCGGACGGUCUCAGUAAAAUGGUUCAACCAACUGUUUAGCAAAAACACAGGGCCCUGCAAAAUCGUAAGAUGACGUAUAGAGCCUGAUACCUGCCCGGUGCUGGAAGGUUAAGGAAGGAUGUUCGGCGCAAGCCAAAGCUUCUGACUGAAGCCCCAGUAAACGGCGGCCGUAACUAUAACGGUCCUAAGGUAGCGAAAUUCCUUGUCGGGUAAGUUCCGACCUGCACGAAUGGUCUAAUGAGUUGAACACUGUCUCCUCCACGAGCCCGGUGAAAUUGUAGUAUCGGUGAAGAUGCCGGUUACCCGUCACGGGACGGAAAGACCCCAUGAACCUUCACUACAACUUUGCAUUGAUUUUGAAUUUUUGAUGUGUAGGAUAGUUGGGAGACUUUGAAGUUGUGUCGCCAGGCAUGAUGGAGUCAACGUUGAAAUACCAACCUUUAAACAUUUAGAAUCUAAUCCCUAACGGGAAACAGUGCAUGGUGGGUAGUUUGACUGGGGUGGUCGCCUCCUAAAAAGUAACGGAGGCUUGCAAAGGUUCCCUCAGUACGGUUGGUAAUCGUACAUAGAGCGUAUUAGUAUAAGGGAGCUUGACUGUGAGACUUACAAGUCGAGCAGGGACGAAAGUCGGCUAAAGUGAUCCGGCGGUUCUGUAUGGAAGGGCCGUCGCUCAAAGGAUAAAAGGUACUCUGGGGAUAACAGGCUGAUCUCCCCCAAGAGCUCAUAUCGACGGGGAGGUUUGGC
Molecule: ribosomal RNA, 1314 nt
Filed under: activated sludge metagenome
Description: bacterial LSU rRNA
Rfam family: Bacterial large subunit ribosomal RNA
Source: RNAcentral